This 626-nucleotide ribosomal RNA is filed under the name uncultured bacterium. Its description in RNAcentral is "bacterial SSU rRNA". It matches the Rfam family "Bacterial small subunit ribosomal RNA", at positions 867 to 1502 of the family's 1533-position model. The record is from RNAcentral.
AUCCACCUGGGGAGUACGUUCGCAAGAAUGAAACUCAAAGGAAUUGACGGGGGCCCGCACAAGCGGAGGAACAUGUGGUUUAAUUCGAUGAUACGCGAGGAACCUUACCUGGGUUUAAAUGUAGAUUGCAUGAUCGGGAAACUGAUCUUUCCUUCGGGACUAUUUACAAGGUGCUGCAUGGUUGUCGUCAGCUCGUGCCGUGAGGUGUCGGGUUAAGUCCCAUAACGAGCGCAACCCCUAUCGUUAGUUGCCAUCAGGUCAUGCUGGGGACUCUAACGAGACUGCCGGUGUAAACCGUGAGGAAGGUGGGGAUGACGUCAAAUCAGCACAGCCCUUAUAUCCAGGGCUACACACGUGUUACAAUGGUCGAUACAAAGAGCAGCCACUUGGUGACAAGGAGCUAAUCUCUAAAGUCGAUCACAGUUCGGAUCGAAGUCUGCAGCUCGACUUCGUGAAGUUGGAUUCGCUAGUAAUCGCGCAUCAGCCACGGCGCGGUGAAUACGUUCCCGGGCCUUGUACACACCGCCCGUCAAGCCAUGGAAGCUGGGGGUGCCUGAAGUCUGUAACCGUAAGGAGCGGCCUAAGGUAAAACUGGUAACUGGGGCUAAGUCGUAACAAGGUAGCCG